RNAcentral lists this ribosomal RNA (468 nucleotides) under uncultured bacterium. Its description in RNAcentral is "partial 16S ribosomal RNA". It matches the Rfam family "Bacterial small subunit ribosomal RNA", at positions 28 to 507 of the family's 1533-position model. The record is from RNAcentral.
GACGAACGCUGGCGGCGUGCUUAGCACAUGCAAGUCGAACGGAAAGGCCCUGCUUUUGUGGGGUGCUCGAGUGGCGAACGGGUGAGUAACACGUGAGUAACCUGCCCUUGACUUUGGGAUAACUUCAGGAAACUGGGGCUAAUACCGGAUAGGAGCUCCUGCUGCAUGGUGGGGGUUGGAAAGUUUCGGCGGUUGGGGACGGACUCGCGGCUUAUCAGCUUGUUGGUGGGGUAGUGGCUUACCAAGGCUUUGACGGGUAGCCGGCCUGAGAGGGUGACCGGCCACAUUGGGACUGAGAUACGGCCCAGACUCCUACGGGAGGCAGCAGUGGGGAAUAUUGCACAAUGGGCGGAAGCCUGAUGCAGCAACGCCGCGUGCGGGAUGACGGCCUUCGGGUUGUAAACCGCUUUCGCCUGUGACGAAGCGUGAGUGACGGUAAUGGGUAAAGAAGCACCGGCUAACUACGUG